CUUCUUCCAAUCAUCUUGUAUUGCUUUCGAAUUCAUACUUAGCAUAUUUGCAUUCCCGAGUUGUCUUUUAGUUCAACUUUCGAAUAUUUGCAUCCUUAGUCCCUGAACUAUCACUUUGCUCCAUUUUAGUCCUUUUUCGGCUCUCUUAUCCUGAAUUUCACUAUUUCCAUAGAAACACCUACAUUGCAUGAAUUCAAUGAGAUUAAGUCACAAUUCAAUCAUUUUGCUUGUAUUUAAGUCAUGUUUG
Molecule: long non-coding RNA, 247 nt
Filed under: Olea europaea subsp. europaea
Lineage: Eukaryota; Viridiplantae; Streptophyta; Magnoliopsida; Lamiales; Oleaceae
Source: RNAcentral